Long non-coding RNA from Haliotis rubra (blacklip abalone), 591 nucleotides. RefSeq lists it as uncharacterized. The transcript has 2 exons. Lineage: Eukaryota; Metazoa; Mollusca; Gastropoda; Lepetellida; Haliotidae. The record is from RefSeq and is a predicted model, not a curated record.
CUAAGACAGGUGUCUCCAUCAGCGUCAGUUCACAUCCCCCAACCCGUCUAAUCAAUGUCAACAGUACACUUGAACAUGAGGGUUCCAGGUGGAACACAGAUCGGAUCGAGCACAACAAAACAUAUAACUAUUCAUUCUUACCACCCUGACCCUCAAUCCCUGGAACUACAUUUACCUGACAUCAGUAGGAGAGUGCUUCAACCUUCAAACUUUCGUUCUCCAAUCAGACUCUCUAGGCACUCAGACCAUUGAUAAGAUGAUGAAUGGAUGGAUGGAUGGACAGACAGACAGACAGACGGAUAGAUUGAUAUUACCAUGAAUACAGAAACACGAAAUCACUCCGGAGACAAAAUGACCAUGUUGACAGGGAGCUUUCAUUCAGGACCAUAUCCUUACCUGACAAUUCUGGUAGAGUCGUCAUAGAUACAGGAGUUUCUCUGCGUCUGCACAUUGUGGGUUUAGACCGUCUUUGGACAAAUGGUCAGUAAUCUGGGACUGGACGUCGGUCGGACUUUCCUGCAACACACGCAUUAUUUAAUACAAAAUAUAUGAUGUAAAAUGAUGUUUUUGUAAAUUAAGAAGCAUCCCCAU